CCUAUAAGACUGGGAUAACUUCGGGAAACCGGAACUAAUACCGGAUAACAUUUGGAACCGCAUGGUUCUAAAGUGAAAGAUGGUUUUGCUAUCACUUAUAGAUGGACCCGCGCCGUAUUAGCUAGUUGGUAAGGUAACGGCUUACCAAGGCGACGAUACGUAGCCGACCUGAGAGGGUGAUCGGCCACACUGGAACUGAGACACGGUCCAGACUCCUACGGGAGGCAGCAGUAGGGAAUCUUCCGCAAUGGGCGAAAGCCUGACGGAGCAACGCCGCGUGAGUGAUGAAGGGUUUCGGCUCGUAAAACUCUGUUAUUAGGGAAGAACAAAUGUGUAAGUAACUGUGCACAUCUUGACGGUACCUAAUCAGAAAGCCACGGCUAACUACGUGCCAGCAGCCGCGGUAAUACGUAGGUGGCAAGCGUUAUCCGGAAUUAUUGGGCGUAAAGCGCGCGUAGGCGGUUUCUUAAGUCUGAUGUGAAAGCCCACGGCUCAACCGUGGAGGGUCAUUGGAAACUGGGAAACUUGAGUGCAGAAGAGGAAAGUGGAAUUCCAUGUGUAGCGGUGAAAUGCGCAGAGAUAUGGAGGAACACCAGUGGCGAAGGCGACUUUCUGGUCUGUAACUGACGCUGAUGUGCGAAAGCGUGGGGAUCAAACAGGAUUAGAUACCCUGGUAGUCCACGCCGUAAACGAUGAGUGCUAAGUGUUAGGGGGUUUCCGCCCCUUAGUGCUGCAGCUAACGCAUUAAGCACUCCGCCUGGGGAGUACGACCGCAAGGUUGAAACUCAAA
This 790-nucleotide ribosomal RNA is filed under the name uncultured Staphylococcus sp. Its description in RNAcentral is "bacterial SSU rRNA". It matches the Rfam family "Bacterial small subunit ribosomal RNA", at positions 129 to 905 of the family's 1533-position model. Lineage: Bacteria; Bacillati; Bacillota; Bacilli; Caryophanales; Staphylococcaceae. The record is from RNAcentral.